CGAAACGGGUGAGGUAACACGUGGGUAACCUGCCCAUAAAGAGGGGGAGUAACAUCCGGAAACGGGUAGCUAAUACCGCAUAGUUUUCUUGGUCGCAUGAUCGGGAAAGGAAAGACGGCCUUUGUGCUGUCGCUUAUGGAUGGACCCGCGGCGUAUUAGUUAGUUGGUGAGGUAACGGCUCACCAAGACGAUGAUACGUAGCCGACCUGAGACGGGUGAUCGGCCACAUUGGGACUGAGACACGGCCCAAACUCCUACGGGAGGCAGCAGUAGGGAAUCUUCCGCAAUGGACGAAAGUCUGACGGAGCAACGCCGCGUGAGUGAAGAAAAGGUUUUCGGAUCGUAAAACUCUGUUGUCAGAGAAGAACAAGUUGGAGAGUAACUGCUCCAGCCUUGACGGUAUCUGACCAGAAAGCCACGGCUAACUACGUGCCAGCAGCCGC
This 443-nucleotide ribosomal RNA is filed under the name uncultured bacterium. RNAcentral describes it as "bacterial SSU rRNA". It matches the Rfam family "Bacterial small subunit ribosomal RNA", at positions 98 to 518 of the family's 1533-position model. The record is from RNAcentral.